RNAcentral lists this long non-coding RNA (375 nucleotides) under Homo sapiens (human). RNAcentral's name for it is "HSALNT0248386". The record is from RNAcentral. Lineage: Eukaryota; Metazoa; Chordata; Mammalia; Primates; Hominidae.
AUGACUCUUAAGGAGCAUGCUGCCUUCAAGCAUCUGUUUAACAAAGCACAUCUUGCACCGCCCUUAAUCCAUUUAACUCUGAGUGGACACAGCACAUGUUUCAGAGAGCACAGGGUUGGGGGUAAGGUCACAGAUCAACAGGAUCCCAAGGCAGAAGAAUUUUUCUUAGUACAGAACAAAAUGAAAAGUCUCCCAUGUCUACUUCUUUCUACACAGACGCGGCAACCAUCCGAUUUCUCAAUCUUUUCCCCACCUUUCCCCCCUUUCUAUUCCACAAAGCCGCCAUUGUCAUCCUGGCCCGUUCUCAAUGAGCUGAUGGGCACACCCCCCAGACGGGGUGGUGGCCGGGCAGAGGGGCUCCUCACUUCCCAGUAG